RNAcentral lists this long non-coding RNA (483 nucleotides) under Salmo salar (Atlantic salmon). Its description in RNAcentral is "lncRNA (ENSSSAG00000092856.1)". Lineage: Eukaryota; Metazoa; Chordata; Actinopteri; Salmoniformes; Salmonidae. The record is from RNAcentral.
CUGGGCUGUGACUGGCGCAGAGAUGGCUGGAAACGUAGGGGGGUUAGGAGUUGAGGAAGACGGGAUGGAGUGUAGUGGUGGAGUCGUGAGAGUAAAGGUUAAGAAGAGGACGCCUGAGGAGCCGUUGAGGUUCUUGUCGGAGGAGAGUAGUGAUGAGGGAUGUUCGGUUCGCAGUGUUGUACCGAGAUAAGUGGAGUUCAUGGUGUUGGUGAAAUGUAAGGACAAGGGUGGGGUCACUGCGGUGAGUCCGAUCACGAUGAUUAGGGAUUUGGAGAGAAAAGUAGGAGAGGUUGAGUCUGCUAAAGUUCUUUGUGAUGGAAGUUUGGUGGUGGGUCGUAUCAAUACUAAACAGUGCGAGAAGGCGCUGAAACUCAAACAGAAGUGGCCUGCUAUGACAAGGCAUCGGAACACCACGAUGCUGACGCGACGAAUGCUCCAUACCAUGUGGUAUUCCCGUUGAUCAUGCUGAUGGACGACCAGGUA